CUCCGCCGCUGCCAGCCCGGCUCUGCGAGGUCGUCGAGGAAAGCGAGGGCGGCCUGUGUGCGCGGCGGGUGUGUGGGGAGAACCGAGCCGUGAGAUGGAGGAGCCCCGGCUGGAAGAUGCGCGUUGUCAGACGCACAGAGCGGGGCUUUGCGGCCUGCACUGCUCACCCCGCACCGCACGGCUGGUUUCCUCCCGGCCACCCUUAUUGCAUAUAAACGGCAAAGAAUUUCCAGCUCUGUGCUGUGAAUCGUUAACCGGGAAACCCUCCAGGUACACAGGAACUGCUGCAGUGCUGCAGUCAGAUGUUACUUCGUCCUGUGAAGGAUGCACAUCUCCCUCACCAGCCAGCCCCACAGCACCUCGUGGGAACCCUUUGCGGUGCAGCUCCGUGAUGCUUCUCUUCAGGUUAUUGGGAACAACCUCCCCCAGGGCUCGGUCUGCUGCUAUCUGCUCCUGAUCAAAGGAUGCCAGAGGUGGUUUCCAGGCAGAAGACUGGCUUACGCAGCCUGUAAGCCAUCACAAGCACCAUAGAGGCCUUCUCCUGGGUGCCCUGCAGACACUGCUGCCCACCGGCCGCCAUCUGAAAGCUCACCGAUACCUGCUGGAAGCAGCAAGCUCACCCUGCAUGGUGACCCUGCAGAUUAACUGAGCUGAUGAGGUUCACUGAUGGCAGCGGGGCUCAGCUGAAAAGUUGAAGUUACAUGAUUAAAAGGUUUGAGUCUCUAACGCACACACUGGAUCGAUGAAUUAUCUUAAUAGCUAUCUUGUGAAAAUGUGAUGAUAAGCUUGGCCUCACGCGGUGAUAGCAGACUUUUUCCUACCUAACUUUUCGUUAUGAGUCUCAUACUUCUGCUAUGUAUGUGGAAGACACACAUUUCAAAUUCUUGAUUAACUUGGAUCAGUCUUAAGAUUCAGCAUUCGUUUCCCUGUAUCUUUUCAAAGUGCCAGGCAACCUAUUUCAGGAGUAUGAUCUAGUGUGAUUCAGGAAGUAUGAUCUGGUGUCCAAAGGUUAUCCCAGCCUACUUAAUUGCAAGAUUGUAUGCAAUUAAAGUGGAUGUCCCUUGUAAACAACUUGCUCAUUGUUUUAUAAUCUCUGAAGAGUUUGCUUUUCAGCACAAAUUUUUUUAAAGCAGGCUGUCAAUUUAUGACGUUACUACUGUAACAAGCAGCUCUUGUUUCCAGAUUAAGUAUUAAGGCCCAAUCCAAAUCCCCUUAAACUCAAGAAGAAUGUUUUCAUUUAGGUAGUGGAUUGGGCUGCAGAAACAGGACGGCCCUUUGACUCAGCAGGUGACCUGUAUGUGAGGGUGAAGGCACACGCUGGGAGAAAGCUGCCCUGCUUUUUCCUCUGAUAUAUUUUUGCUAUAGAUGAAGAAUGGAUGUAGUUGCUAAACCGGUCAGAAACACUUAAAAACAAAUUAUGAUUUAAGAGAGUGGCAGAUACUCCUGCAGAACAAGUAUUACUAAGACACCUGAAACUGAAUAUAUAAAAAAAAAGUGGAAAUGUUUGGGUCAAGAAAAUGAACACUGUGGGAAAAAAGCAUGAAGGAAGUGUAGGGGUAAAGAAAAUGCCAUCCUUUUACAGGCUACAGCUGAACUUAAAACCUUGACUUUAUUACUACCUUUCUACCCCUUUCCUUUUUACAGUGCUGUCCUUUGGAUUUACAUUCAUGUAUCACUCUCUUCCAAAGAUGAGAAAUAUGCUGUGACUUCUUCCUUCAUGGUAAUACCUCGUGUAACUGUGCUACUUUAGGGCAUUUGUGUGUCCUUAAGCAAAACCUGAAUUUGACGUUUGGGGAAACUUUGUAGUUUGAGAAGUUUGGUCAGAACUCUAACAUCAGCAUCCUCAAAACUGUCCUGGAGAUAAAAAGCCUGCACUUAAAACGGGAGGAUCCUCAGUAGAUGGCUAAAUAGGUUUGCUUUUUCCAAGCGAAAAUAAAUGACUCCCCAGUUCAA
Long non-coding RNA from Lagopus leucura (white-tailed ptarmigan), 1953 nucleotides. RefSeq lists it as uncharacterized. The record is from RefSeq and is a predicted model, not a curated record. Lineage: Eukaryota; Metazoa; Chordata; Aves; Galliformes; Phasianidae. The transcript has 2 exons.